CGUAGGGACCAAGCGUUGUCCGGAUUCAUUGGGCGUAAAGAGCUCGUAGGCGGUUCGAUAAGUCGGGUGUGAAACCUCCAGGCUCAACCUGGAGACGCCACCCGAUACUGUCGUGACUAGAGUCCAGUAGGGGAGCGUGGAAUUCCUGGUGUAGCGGUGAAAUGCGCAGAUAUCAGGAGGAACACCAGCGGCGAAGGCGGCGCUCUGGGCUGGAACUGACGCUGAGGAGCGAAAGCGUGGGGAGCGAACAGGAUUAGAUACCCUGGUAGUCCACGCCGUAAACGUUGGGUACUAGGUGUGGGGGUCUUAUCAACGGAUUCCGUGCCGAAGCUAACGCAUUAAGUACCCCGCCUGGGGAGUACGGCCGCAAGGCU
Molecule: ribosomal RNA, 374 nt
Filed under: uncultured organism
Description: bacterial SSU rRNA
Rfam family: Bacterial small subunit ribosomal RNA
Source: RNAcentral